AACGAACGCUGGCGGCAUGCCUAACACAUGCAAGUCGAACGAGACCUUCGGGUCUAGUGGCGCACGGGUGCGUAACGCGUGGGAAUCUGCCCUUGGGUUCGGAAUAACAGUUGGAAACGACUGCUAAUACCGGAUGAUGACGUAAGUCCAAAGAUUUAUCGCCCAAGGAUGAGCCCGCGUAGGAUUAGCUAGUUGGUGAGGUAAAGGCUCACCAAGGCGACGAUCCUUAGCUGGUCUGAGAGGAUGAUCAGCCACACUGGGACUGAGACACGGCCCAGACUACUACGGGAGGCAGGAGUGGGGAAUAUUGGACAAUGGGCGAAAGCCUGAUCCAGCAAUGCCGCGUGAGUGAUGAAGGCCUUAGGGUUGUAAAGCUCUUUUACCCGGGAUGAUAAUGACAGUACCGGGAGAAUAAGCGCCGGCUAACUCCGUG
RNAcentral lists this ribosomal RNA (433 nucleotides) under uncultured bacterium. RNAcentral describes it as "partial 16S ribosomal RNA". It matches the Rfam family "Bacterial small subunit ribosomal RNA", at positions 29 to 507 of the family's 1533-position model. The record is from RNAcentral.